CUGAGUUAGGGUCUGCAUAGGCCCGACCUCCCAACCCUUGUGCUUAACAAAACAUUAUUGCUUCGGCGGGCCCGCUCCUCUGGGAGCCGCCGGGCCUCUACUUCGAGGUCUGGUCCGUGCCCGCCGGUGGCCCAAUCUUAAACUCUUGAUGAAACGUGUCGUCUGAGUACCAAAAUUUAAUUAAAAUUUA
This 190-nucleotide unclassified non-coding RNA is filed under the name uncultured Ascomycota. Its description in RNAcentral is "sequence contains ITS1". Lineage: Eukaryota; Fungi; Ascomycota. The record is from RNAcentral.